Long non-coding RNA from Anguilla rostrata (American eel), 1460 nucleotides. RefSeq lists it as uncharacterized. The record is from RefSeq and is a predicted model, not a curated record. The transcript has 4 exons. NCBI's taxonomy places the organism in Eukaryota, Metazoa, Chordata, Actinopteri, Anguilliformes, Anguillidae.
CAGGGAUGUUAAAUCACACAGCCCAUGAGUAGUUCGUAACAUGAAAAGUACAAUGCAGCCACAUGCAAUUUGUCUCUUUGCAGCUGGAACGUCACUUGGAGGUCGUAUUAUUUAUUUAAAAACAGCCCAAACUAACCACGAGCAUUUAAGUACGUCCUUAACACGCAUAAAGAAUAUAUAGCGAACACUGAUCCUGCGCGUGUUGGUUGUCAAAGGUGGCCUAUGUCUGAAGUUACACUCAUUUUUCCCAUCUUGUGUUUUGAGUGUCUUGCCCUGCAGUAAGGCAUCGCAAAGACAAGAUUUUACUGUCAUCCACAUAUGCAGCCGGGUAGAAAUUCCUGAGAGGAAAUGAAAACAUGAGGAGAUAUCCACUGUAUUCCGUGCAGCAUACAACCCCCCGCGGUGUGAAGAUGGAGAUCAGGGUUCAGAUCCCGUUAAGGAGAGAAAUCAGCUGGGUUCCGCUCAAUCUCCAUGCUCUGGCCACACACCUACACUGUGGGGGACUGGGGGGGGGGGGGUGCGGCUGACCUCACAGCUCUCCUAUACGGCCGAGGCCCGAGUGUUGACGUGUCUCCAUGGAUACCUCCCCCCCUUAACUCCAUUGGCUGGGCACCACAACGAGAUGACACAGUGGCUGACAAAGUCCCAAUUUCUCCCUUUGGGAAUGGUUGACAUUUAUGACGAAAAACAGAACGGGGGAGAAAAAAACAAGAGCAAGAAUAAGUCCCAUAUUUGUCUGACUUUAUUUUAUGAAGAUUGUAAUAAAGUCUUUCCAGCUAGAACAGAAAUUCACUCUUUUUUAAAUACAUCCCUUUUGGUAAAAGGGAUAAAUCGCUUUUUGAAGUUUUCGAUUGUAUUUCUUUUUUAGUUGAUGUUUUUGAUUGGCCCUGACAGUUUUUGUGUGUGAUGAUGAAUAUUUAGGGUUCCAAGCAAACCCUAACCCGUUAUUUCUUUUUUUCAUUCUUUCUUAUAAAAGUAUCUGUAUCUGUAAAAGUAUUCUGACAUUCCUGCAGUAACCAUAUUCAGCAGGUGGGCUGCUAUGGCCCCCAAUACUCAGGGAAAAUAUCACAGAUUUAUUGGCCAGAUGGUUGCGCUAUGACACAUAUAUUUAUGUUCUGGUCCUUAACUUUCAUGCCGUAAGUCAAACUGAUGCCAAACUUCAUGCAUACAUUUGUGCGUUCCAGAUUUACAACUUUGCUAUUGGGACUACCCAUAUCUGCCAUCUUGAUUUACCACCAUUUUGUAUAGUAUAAUGUGUGGUAUAAUUGUAAAAUAGUGUAAUGAUAUAUUUAAAACUGGACAUACAUUAGACCAAAAUGUCCUGCAGUGAUUAGUAAGAUGAAUUGAAAUUGACAAUUGAAACUUUCAAUAUACUUCGAUCAAUCUUUAUCACACUAAAUUAUGAUGUUUGGACUCUCAAAGGCCCCAAUAAAGGCCCCAGUAAAGCUAUAAUGUUCUGU